Molecule: non-coding RNA, 17 nt
Filed under: Mus musculus (house mouse)
Lineage: Eukaryota; Metazoa; Chordata; Mammalia; Rodentia; Muridae
Source: RNAcentral
ACUGUGCCUAGAGUUAA